CUUCAGCGCGCCCAGCCACAGCGGGUGCGCGCGCUCGACCGCGCCGUAGGUGUUCAGCAGCGCCUGCGCCUC
RNAcentral lists this antisense RNA (72 nucleotides) under Nocardia terpenica. RNAcentral describes it as "ASpks TB sRNA". It matches the Rfam family "ASpks TB sRNA". The record is from Rfam by way of RNAcentral. Lineage: Bacteria; Bacillati; Actinomycetota; Actinomycetes; Mycobacteriales; Nocardiaceae.